Molecule: long non-coding RNA, 1103 nt
Filed under: Rattus norvegicus (Norway rat)
Lineage: Eukaryota; Metazoa; Chordata; Mammalia; Rodentia; Muridae
Description: long non-coding RNA NONRATT004770
Source: RNAcentral
CCGACAUUUCCAGGGGGUGAAAUGGCCAUCGAGGUGUUUGAACUAGCAGAGAAUGAGGAUGCACUGUCCCCUGUGGAGAUGGAGCCUGAAAAGCUGGUGCACAAGUUCAAGGAGCUCCAGAUCAAGCAUGCUGUCACUGAAGCGGAAAUCCAGCAGCUGAAGCGGAAGUUGCAGAGUCUGGAGCAGGAGAAAGGGCGCUGGCGGGUGGAGAAGGCCCAGCUGGAGCAGAGUGUGGAGGAGAAUAAGGAGCGGAUGGAGAAGCUAGAAGGCUACUGGGGUGAGGCCCAGAGCCUGUGCCAGGCUGUGGAUGAGCACCUGCGGGAGACUCAGGCCCAGUAUCAGGCCCUGGAGCGAAAGUACAGCAAGGCCAAGCGUCUCAUCAAGGACUACCAGCAAAAGGAGAUCGAGUUCCUGAAAAAAGAGACCGCCCAGCGUCGGGUACUGGAAGAGUCGGAGCUAGCCAGGAAGGAGGAAAUGGACAAACUUCUGGAUAAGGUAGAGCCCACUGUUUUCCAAUGUUUUCACUGGAGGGCAAAAUUUUACUACUCAUCUUUCUGGAGACCAGGGCUGCUUACUGUCAGCCUGCUUUCUAAGUGAAAUUGACUCCAUUUCCCCACGUUAACCCCAAAUUGGGGCUUGGACCAAGGGAGGUGAGAACCCUCAGGUACCCUCCCCUUUCAGAAUCCAUCUCUUGCCACUUCCACAUACCACCCCGGCCCUAAGCCUAACUUUGUUUUAUUUUUUUUUUCUUCUUUUUAAAACAACCCAGUUCUAUCCUUUUCGGUUUCUCCUAGUCCCCUGUAAAUAGACCAUACCAUCAAUCAGUAUUUCUUGCCCCUCUCUUCCUCCCCUCGACGUGCCCCUACUCCCCCGAAAGAGCUGGCUGUCACAGUGCCCGGCCCCUGCACUUCACCCAGGCAGAUGGAGGGGGCGGAGCCGGGUGGGCGGGCCCUCGGUGUACUUCCGGUUUUGACCGGCAGCGCUCCUGCCCCGCCCUUGGAGGACCCCGUCUCUGUAUAUAAUAUAUAUAUGUAUGUAUUGUUCCUGGUUUUGUACGGACCAUGCCCUCUGUCAGGUCGUCCCCAUAAAAGCAGCCCCCAGAG